AGUGAACGCUGGCGGUAGGCCUAACACAUGCAAGUCGAACGGCAGCACAGUAAGAGCUUGCUCUUACGGGUGGCGAGUGGCGGACGGGUGAGGAAUACAUCGGAAUCUACUUUUUCGUGGGGGAUAACGUAGGGAAACUUACGCUCAUACCGCAUACGACCUUCGGGUGAAAGCAGGGGAUCUUCGGACCUUGCGCGAUUGAAUGAGCCGAUGUCGGAUUAGCUAGUUGGCGGGGUAAAGGCCCACCCAGGCGACGAUCCGUAGCUGGUCUGAGAGGAUGAUCAGCCACACUGGAACUGAGACACGGUCCAGACGCCUACGGGAGGCAGCAGUGGGGAAUAUUGGACAAUGGGCGCAAGCCUGAUCCAGCCAUACCGCGUGGGUGAAGAAGGCCUUCGGGUUGUAAAGCCCUUUUGUUGGGAAAGAAAAGCAGCAGGUUAAUACCCCGCUGUUCUGACGGUACCCAAAGAAUAAGCACCGGCUAACUUCGUG
This 492-nucleotide ribosomal RNA is filed under the name uncultured bacterium. RNAcentral describes it as "partial 16S ribosomal RNA". It matches the Rfam family "Bacterial small subunit ribosomal RNA", at positions 29 to 507 of the family's 1533-position model. The record is from RNAcentral.